Molecule: ribosomal RNA, 512 nt
Filed under: uncultured bacterium
Lineage: Bacteria
Description: partial 16S ribosomal RNA
Rfam family: Bacterial small subunit ribosomal RNA
Source: RNAcentral
GAUGAACGCUGGCGGCGUGCCUAAUACAUGCAAGUCGAACGAAACUUCUUUAUCACCGAGUGCUUGCACUCACCGAUAAAGAGUUGAGUGGCGAACGGGUGAGUAACACGUGGGCAACCUGCCCAAAAGAGGGGGAUAACACUUGGAAACAGGCGCUAAUACCGCAUAACCAUAGUUACCGCAUGGUAACUAUGUAAAAGGUGGCUAUACUACCGCUUUUGGAUGGGCCCGCGGCGCAUUAGCUAGUUGGUAGGGUAAAGGCUUACCAAGGCAAUGAUGCGUAGCCGAAUUGAGAGGUUGAUCGGCCACAUUGGGACUGAGACACGGCCCAAACUCCUACGGGAGGCAGCAGUAGGGAAUCUUCCACAAUGGGCGAAAGCCUGAUGGAGCAACGCCGCGUGGGUGAAGAAGGUCUUCGGAUCGUAAAACCCUGUUGUUAGAGAAGAAAGUGCGUGAGAGUAACUGUUCACGUUUCGACGGUAUCUAACCAGAAAGCCACGGCUAACUACGUG